CCCACUCCUCCCUCCGCAUUAAAUGAGCUUUGGGCUCCGCAGUUAUUUGUGACCGACCUUAAACUUUCCCUGACCCUUUUUCGGGACCUUGGGACUCGGGGGUCGUGUUGGCCGUCGGGGGUCGCGGCUCUGGGAAAAAAGGAUCUCGGGUGCCCUGCUCCCUGGUUCUUAAAAACACACACACACACAUAGUAAACUCUUGGGUUUCGGGAAGUUCACGUUCGCCACUCCCCCACCUAACCUUUGGGAACUUUUAAUUCGGAGUCGUGGCGGACGUAAAGGUUAGUGGAUGGGCGCUCAGAUGGGCAAAAUGAUUGCACGCCAGUCUCGCUCAGGGACCCCACUCCGAAUUUUGAUGUUCCGUUUGCUCGGAGCUUUCCCUGGAGAACUUCAGUUGGGGAAGAGAGAGGAGCCUAAAGGAGCCGGGCUAGGGAGGUGCUUUUUAAACUAUGGUUUCCAGAGAUUGUGAGUCCUCGACGCUCUGUGUUGUUUCCUCUCAGUGUAACUCGGCUCCCAGUUGCAGCGUGGCAGUAUUUUGGAAAGGCUGAAGGUAGAAAACUCUGGAAUGGAGACUGGCGACUUGGAGCAGGAACUGGGGCUUUAAAAUUUAACCUGAGUUCGAUCGAAUGCGACUACCCGAAGAGGUGGCCCGCGUCGGCUGGCGCGGGAGGUUUCGGAUGCCUUCCUUUUGGGUUCCUUCGUGAGUUUCGGCUACAUUUUAGCUGUCUCCUCUUUGGGGAUUUGCUCAUCCUGAACGAAGUCGUUUCUUUCGGGAAUAACUGGACCCAAGCAUCAGCCCCUCCGGAGCCAGCCGUCCCUCCCCGAAACCCUCCUCAUCCCGGGAGACGAACCUGGCUCCCGGCGCGGCCUAUCCCCAGGGCUGAUUUAUUCGGGCCCCGCUACACCCACUAUUUGCGAUCCGAAUUCAGCCAGAGCACGGCAACCAAUUGGCCAGGGGGCGGGGGCUUUGCUGCCAAACGGGAAGGGGCGUCUGGGGGCCCCGCCGGGUGCUGCUUCCGGAGCAGCGAGGCCCCGCGGCAGCACGCACCUUUGCCUGGCGCGGUCGGGCUCAUUAUUGCCGCUGCACAAAGUUCCGAGCUGUUUCGGCGACGUUUCCGAAAGAAAAGGAAGUCAGCUUUCGACUGAGACAUACUUUUAACUUUAGAUGUUUUUCAACCCAGAUUUAUGGGGCCUUCUCACUCGCACCAUAUUUCUUACUGCCGGGGGCGACGCUUUCGCCGCAGGGCCCGGGGGGGUUUCGGCGCCCCGGGCAGCGUCCCGGCGCGGGAGCCUCUCCUCUGCGCGGGGAGACCCCCCGCUCCACCAUCCGCCCCGCGCAGCCAUCGCCCGGGGCUCUGGCUUGACUUGCAGGUUAUUUUAAGUCUCUAAAACCCCAAAAGUACUCUUUAGAAAUGUCAGGUGGUGGCGGCAGAAGCGCGAAAGCGACGCGGCCUAGAGAUCAUCCCCUGUCCUCGCCCGAUCCCCCGGCCCCCUUUCCUCUGCCCGUCGCUUCCGGGAAGGGCCCCGCAGACUCCAGCCCCGGGCGCGCAGAGCCGGGCCGAGAGCGCGCGGCCUCGGGCAGGCCCAGCCCCAGCCCCGCGGC
This 1603-nucleotide long non-coding RNA is filed under the name Dasypus novemcinctus (nine-banded armadillo). RNAcentral's name for it is "lncRNA (ENSDNOG00000051208.1)". Lineage: Eukaryota; Metazoa; Chordata; Mammalia; Cingulata; Dasypodidae. The record is from RNAcentral.